RNAcentral lists this non-coding RNA (280 nucleotides) under Clostridiales bacterium. RNAcentral's name for it is "T-box sequence". It matches the Rfam family "T-box leader". Rfam says of the family: Uncharged tRNA acts as the effector for transcription antitermination of genes in the T-box leader family. The record is from RNAcentral. Lineage: Bacteria; Bacillati; Bacillota; Clostridia; Eubacteriales.
GUAAUGGCGAUGAUCGAGAAAAGUAGUCCGGAUGGAACCAUACAGAGAGGAGAUGCCGAGGCUGUAAGCAUCUCUAUGGUAAAAGCGGAUGAAGUUCUCUCCUGAGCUGGUGAGCUGAAGGUUAGUAGGUUCUCCCGGAAACUUCCACCGUUACAAGGAAGGGGAUAUCGGAUUAUCUAUUUAUGUAUAAUCCUGCAUCCUAGAUUGAGGAGGUUCCGGCUUUUGUUGCCGGAGCAAACCAGGGUGGUACCGCGGAAAGCUAACGCCUUUCGUCCCUAUG